GACGAACGCUGGCGGCGUGCUUAACACAUGCAAGUCGAACGGAAAGGCCCUGCUUGCAGGGUACUCGAGUGGCGAACGGGUGAGUAACACGUGGGUGAUCUGCCCUGCACUUCGGGAUAAGCCUGGGUAACUGGGUCUAAUACCGGAUAGGAGCCAUUUUGAGUGUGAUGGUUGGAAAGUUUUUUCGGUGUAGGAUGAGCUUGCGGCCUAUCAGCUUGGUGGUGGGGUAAUGGCCUACCAAGGCGGCGACGGGUAGCCGGCCCGAGAGGGUGGACGGCAACAGUGGGACUGGGACUCGGCCCCGACCCCGACGCGUGGCAGAGGCGGGGGAUAUUGCACAAUGGGCGCAAGCCUGAUGCAGAGACGGCGCGUGGGGGAUGACGGUCUAGGGGUUGUAGUUGCAUUUCGCUAGGGACGAGGAUUUUUGUGACGGUACCUAGAUAAGAAGCACCGGCUAACUACGUG
RNAcentral lists this ribosomal RNA (465 nucleotides) under uncultured bacterium. Its description in RNAcentral is "partial 16S ribosomal RNA". It matches the Rfam family "Bacterial small subunit ribosomal RNA", at positions 28 to 507 of the family's 1533-position model. The record is from RNAcentral.